AUGCCACAAGCGGAAAUUACGGCAGCGCCUCUUCCUGACUCGGUAUACAAACAAAAGCGACGUUAAAUUUAGAGCUUAUUUUCUCAGACCCACGCCUGUUUGGCGCAACUCUAGCGGUCGAAAUAAAAUGCGUGGUGUUUGCUGAAAUGUUUGCGUAAAAGCUCCUUCGGGGAGGCCAGGAAGUGCGAGUAUCGCCUCGGCUAGCUGCUUACUUAGCGUGACAUGCUAGCUCGACAUGUUUGUUGUCGUGCUGGAGCGAAGGAGAGCGACAUGAUGGCAUGAAAACCUUCGCCGUGUUUGCUGCACUCUUUGCCACCGCAAGGCUGAAAGUGGUAGACCACAACUUGGACUGAAGGUGCUCCCAGGAACCGAACCUCGCUGAGAUCCGCACAUAUUCACCAUGGCCUGGGCUUUGAAGUUGCCUCUGACUGACGAAGUGAUCGAGUCCGGACUGGUCCAGGACUUUGAUGCCAGUCUUUCAGGCAUCGGACAGGAGCUGGGGGCUGGGGCGUACAGCAUGAGCGACGUCCUGGCCCUGCCCAUCUUCAAGCAGGAGGAGUCCAACCUGCCGCCGGACGCCGACAACAAGAUCCUUCCCUUCCAGUAUGUCCUCUGCGCCGCUACCUCGCCAGCUGUCAAACUGCAUGAUGAAACGCUCACCUACCUCAAUCAAGGGCAGUCCUACGAAAUUAUCAUGCUCGAUAAUCGCAAGAUCGGCGAACUCCCGGAAAUCUCUGGUAAAAUGGUUAAGAGCAUCAUUCGCGUGGUGUUCCACGACCGUCGACUUCAGUACACGGAGCACCAGCAGCUGGAGGGCUGGCGCUGGAACCGGCCCGGGGACCGUAUUCUGGACCUAGAUAUCCCCAUGUCGGUCGGCAUCGUGGACCCCCGGGCCAACCCCACCCAGCUUAACACCGUGGAGUACCUGUGGGAACCGUCGAAGAGAACCUCUGUCUUUAUCCAGGUUCACUGCAUCAGCACGGAGUUUACCAUGCGCAAGCACGGCGGCGAGAAGGGCGUUCCUUUCCGCAUCCAGAUCGACACCUUCAAAGAGAACGAGGGCGGCGAGUACACCGAGCACCUCCACUCCGCCUCCUGUCAGGUCAAAGUUUUCAAGCCUAAAGGUGCCGACAGGAAGCAGAAGACAGACCGGGAGAAGAUGGAGAAGAGGGCGCCGCAGGAGAAGGAGAAGUACCAACCAUCCUAUGAAACCACCAUCCUCACCGAGUGCUCUCCGUGGCCAGAGGUUACGUACGUCAACAACUCCCCAUCGCCGGCCUUCAACAGCACGCCAAACAGCUUCCCGGUGGCGGAAGGAAACGGGUCACCCAACCACCAGCCUGAGCCCGUUGUUCAUGUAGCGGACAAUUUGUUACCUGCGGCCACGCCACAAGAUGCACAGCAGUGGCUUCUCCGAAACCGCUUCUCGCCCUUCUGCCGCCUCUUCACCAACUUCUCAGGAGCGGACCUGUUGAAGCUGACCAGGGAGGAUGUCAUUCAGAUCUGCGGUCCAGCGGACGGCAUUCGGCUUUUCAAUGCACUAAAAGGACGGGUGGUACGUCCGAGGCUGACCAUCUACGUGUGUCAGGAGUCGCAGCAGGCCCGUGAGCAGCAGCCCAAACACGAGAACGGAGACGCCGCCAGCAACACGUUCUUCAUCUACCACGCCGUCUACCUGGAGGAGCUGACGGCGGUCGAGCUGACGGAGAAGAUCGCCCAGCUCUUCAACAUCUCUCCCAGGCAGAUCAACCAGAUCUUCAAGCAGGGUCCCACCGGCAUCCACGUGCUGGUCAGCGACGAGAUGAUCCAGAACUUCCAGGAUGAAGUUUGUUUUAUUUUGGACACAAUGAAAGAUGACUCCAACGACGGCUACCAUGUCAUCCUCAAGUGACCGCAUCGCACGGACGCCCCCCCCCCCAGCAAUGAAGCCUCUGGAGGCUUUUUUCCCCUCCCCUUUUACUCUGGGGAGGGAGUGACUGUUACCACGGUGACGAAGCCUUCCGCCUCCUUUUUACUCCUCCAUGGGGAUGCUCUUCUUUCCUCUUCUCUCUUCUUUACGUCUCCUCGGCCAGUGUGGGCGGGGCGGCGGCUGCGUCUGGAAUCACUAUAAGCCGACCGAUUGGCCGAACUGCAUUGAAGAAAAAUACACUUCAGUCCACUGGAGCUACAACGCUUCCAAGCUAAGGAAAAGUUGUCAUAAAGGAAAGAACCGUCACAGCAGCUGCCCACUAGUGGUCAUCAUAAGGAGCGGUCUGCUGUAGCAUCAAAGAUCCUUCAGGACUGCUCUGCAAUUUUUAAGGUCCUACCUGCUGCAAAAAAAAUAAAACGAGGCAAAGAUCCUUUAUUAGACAGGAGUGCUCCAUCAAGUCAAAGAUCCUUUAUUUGACGAGAGUGUUUUGCUGUUUUUAACAACCUAGUCGUCUGCUACCAAGUCAACGAUCCUGAAGGAGUGAUCUGCUGUUUUUGAGGAUUUGCUUCAAAAAUGACAAUUGAAAAAUUACACUUGAGGAAAUUUUAACUCGCAAUAUUUUUAGUGCUUGGCUUUUUUAACGACCUACUGCAACAAACAUGAGUCAAAGAUCCUUUAUUUGACAGGA
Molecule: non-coding RNA, 2597 nt
Organism: Doryrhamphus excisus (bluestripe pipefish)
Lineage: Eukaryota; Metazoa; Chordata; Actinopteri; Syngnathiformes; Syngnathidae
Source: RefSeq, a predicted model, not a curated record